RNAcentral lists this ribosomal RNA (541 nucleotides) under uncultured bacterium. Its description in RNAcentral is "bacterial SSU rRNA". It matches the Rfam family "Bacterial small subunit ribosomal RNA", at positions 777 to 1317 of the family's 1533-position model. The record is from RNAcentral.
AAUAGAUACCCGGGUAGUCCACGCCGUAAACAAUGUCGACUUGGAGGUUGUUCCCUUGAGGAGUGGCUUCCGGAGCUAACGCGUUAAGUCGACCGCCUGGGGAGUACGGCCGCAAGGUUAAAACUCAAAUGAAUUGACGGGGGCCCGCACAAGCGGUGGAGCAUGUGGUUUAAUUCGAUGCAACGCGAAGAACCUUACCUACUCUUGACAUCCACGGAACUUUUCAGAGAUGAAUUGGUGCCUUCGGGAACCGUGAGACAGGUGCUGCAUGGCUGUCGUCAGCUCGUGUUGUGAAAUGUUGGGUUAAGUCCCGCAACGAGCGCAACCCUUAUCCUUUGUUGCCAGCGGUUUAGGCCGGGAACUCAAAGGAGACUGCCAGUGAUAAACUGGAGGAAGGUGGGGAUGACGUCAAGUCAUCAUGGCCCUUACGAGUAGGGCUACACACGUGCUACAAUGGCGCAUACAAAGAGAAGCGACCUCGCGAGAGCAAGCGGACCUCAUAAAGUGCGUCGUAGUCCGGAUUGGAGUCUGCAACUCGACU